RNAcentral lists this ribosomal RNA (97 nucleotides) under Caerostris extrusa. The record is from RNAcentral. Lineage: Eukaryota; Metazoa; Arthropoda; Arachnida; Araneae; Araneidae.
AACGGCCAUACCAUGCUGAAUACCGGUUCUCGCUCGAUCACCGAAGUCAAGCAUCAUUGGGUGCGAUCAGUACUUGGGUGGGGGGCCACCUGGGCAU